UGGGCCCAGAUCGUUUACCGUGAAAAAAUUAGAGUGUUCAAAGCAGGCAGAUCCAAUUUUCUGCCACCGAAUACAUUAGCAUGGGAUAAUGGAAUAGGACCCUGUCCUCCUAUUUUCAGUUGGUUUUGGCAGCGCGAGGACUAGGGUAAUGAUUAAUAGGGAUAGUUGGGGGCAUUAAUAUUUAAUUGUCAGAGGUGAAAUUCUUGGAUUUAUGAAAGAUUAACUUCUGCGAAAGCAUCUGCCAAGGAUGUUUUCAUUAAUCAAGAACGAAAGUUAGGGGAUCGAAGACGAUCAGAUACCGUCGUAGUCUUAACCAUAAACGAUGCCGACCAGCGAUUAGGAGACGUUGAAUACAAAACACCACCAUCGGCGCGGUCGUCCUUGGC
RNAcentral lists this ribosomal RNA (386 nucleotides) under Acanthamoeba sp. RNAcentral's name for it is "SSU rRNA". It matches the Rfam family "Eukaryotic small subunit ribosomal RNA", at positions 738 to 1085 of the family's 1831-position model. The record is from RNAcentral. Lineage: Eukaryota; Discosea; Longamoebia; Acanthamoebidae.